UUUUUGGUAUAAGUAUAUCCCAUGCAAUAUUUGGAACAUACUUAUGCUAAAA
Molecule: microRNA precursor, 52 nt
Filed under: Mustela putorius furo (domestic ferret)
Lineage: Eukaryota; Metazoa; Chordata; Mammalia; Carnivora; Mustelidae
Description: mir-1302 microRNA precursor family
Rfam family: mir-1302 microRNA precursor family
Source: Rfam by way of RNAcentral